Molecule: ribosomal RNA, 571 nt
Filed under: Ascomycota sp. 3-2-4
Lineage: Eukaryota; Fungi; Ascomycota
Description: eukaryotic LSU rRNA
Rfam family: 5.8S ribosomal RNA (bases 191-344)
Source: RNAcentral
CCUUCCGUAGGUGAACCUGCGGAAGGAUCAUUAUUGCUUCUGUUGCCAGCGCUUGAUUGCGCGGCGGCUCCUUUCACACUUGCAUAUUAUAAAUGAAGCACUGUCUUUGCGUACGCAAGUACGCCCCAGCCUAAACACAGAUUACCAAUCUUAUACAAACACAGUCAACUUAGGAAUAAAAAAUAUUCAAAACUUUCAACAACGGAUCUCUUGGUUCUCGCAACGAUGAAGAACGCAGCGAAUUGCGAUAAGUAUUGUGAAUUGCAGAUUUUCGUGAAUCAUCGAAUCUUUGAACGCACAUUGCACCCUCUGGUAUUCCAGAGGGUAUGCCUGUUUGAGCGUCAUUUCUCUCUCAAGGGAUCUCUUUUAGGGAUUUGAAAACCUUGGUAUUGAGUGAUGCUCUGCUCGCAGGGCUAGCUUGAAAAAUAGGAUGGCUGCGGAUACGCCCUUGUGGGAGCGCCAGCGUAAUGUAUUAGGUUCAGCCGACUCGUUAAGCUCGCACACUCAUCAAGCAGGGGACAGGCCGCGGCGUAACAACCAACUAUAUAUACAAGUUGACCUCAAAUCAGUA